Molecule: ribosomal RNA, 253 nt
Filed under: uncultured bacterium
Lineage: Bacteria
Description: partial 16S ribosomal RNA
Rfam family: Bacterial small subunit ribosomal RNA
Source: RNAcentral
UACGGAGGAUGCAAGCGUUAUCCGUAAUGAUUGGGCGUAAAGCGUCCGCAGGUGGCUAUGUAAGUCUGCUGUUAAAGAGUGAGGCUCAACCUCAUAAAAGCAGUGGAAACUACAUGGCUAGAGUGCGUUCGGGGCAGAGGGAAUUCCUGGUGUAGCGGUGAAAUGCGUAGAUAUCAGGAAGAACACCGGUGGCGAAAGCGCUCUGCUAGGCCGCAACUGACACUGAGGGACGAAAGCUAGGGGAGCGAAUGGG